RNAcentral lists this long non-coding RNA (3322 nucleotides) under Sus scrofa (pig). RNAcentral's name for it is "lncRNA (ENSSSCG00025042443.1)". Lineage: Eukaryota; Metazoa; Chordata; Mammalia; Artiodactyla; Suidae. The record is from RNAcentral.
AAAGAAAACUCUUCAUUCCCUCCUACUCCUCUUUGAAAUCACUGAUUCUGCUCAAACCCUCAUUUUAAGAGUGAGGGAAUGGAAACAGAGUAUUUGCCCUGGAACCUAUUUUGUUAAAGCAGAGGACCGCAAAGAACCACGGCCAGUCACCUCCCAGGCAGUGACCUUCCCUCUCCUAGGCAGUAGGCAGGCUUGAUUUGGCAUGGCAGUCACCCCAGGAAAGCCUGGCCAUUUUCCAUAGCUAUAUUCACAACAUUUGAGGAACGCUCAGGCAGCUGUCCUUGGUGUUUCAGGACAUGGUGUCUCCCCAUAGUGUUGUACAAAUUCACUGGAACAGGUGGCUCACCCAACCUUUCUUCAUGAUGCUGUUGAAUAUGAACUGGCUGGAGCAGACUGGCCCCACUGUGGGAUCCUAUUCCUGGGACGCAGAUGUCAAACCACACCAAACAAUUAAGUCAUGUUGGGAUCCCUCUUCAUCAGCAUGUCAAACACCUCUUCCAGGACCCAAAUUCAGUCUCCCUGAAAGUUGUCUGAUUAAACUUCUAAAAACCUCAUGGGUUGUGGCUCUUUAUGGCACAUAUGUUAUUUAUCAAUAAAAAGUGUGUUUUUUUUUUUUUUAAUCUAUGGAUUAACUGCUUGAGUCAUGUGCAAGCACUAAGAACAAAUGGAAAUCCACAUGAUGUUCUAGGGGAGAACCUAGAUUUAUGGCACCAGAGUAAGAGCAGACAUUUAGCUCAGCUUUAAGAAGCCCCACCUCCACUGCCUUUGACCUCAAGUCCCUCAUGUUUGCAAGGGUUUUAUCUAUGCGGUUAUUUUUUACAUAACUGGCUUUAGUAACAGAUUUUCUUUCCUAUUAUUUCAGUUGGUUCUGGACUCAAUGGAAAACUAUCAACAAAAGAAAAAUGUUGAAGUAAUUACUAAAGAUAAAUUUGUGUAUUUUGGGGGAAUGGGUAUCAAUAAGGCUAAUUUGAAAAUAAUAUUGUUUUUAUUAUUCAGUUCUUUAAAACUUGCUUAUUUCCACUUUUCAUUCCAAUUUAUUGGGAAUAGACCUUGUGCUUAGAGGUUAGAGCAAAAGAGUUUUUCAGAUUGUCUGGGUUUGAAAUCCUGCUGUUCUAACUUUACUUUGAUCUUCAGCAAGUUAACUUACUUUUCUGAGCCUCAGUUCCCUCAUCUGUAGGUAUGAUGAUGAUACCUAAAUCAUAGAAUGUUGGCAAGAAUUAAAUUAAAUGAGAAAAUUUAGGUAAAUUAUUUAGCACAGUCAUACCUGGUAGAUCAUAAUCACUCUCAUACUCUUAUUAUUAUCAUUAACAAAUUUUUAUUAUUAUUCCAUGAGUUUCUUCUCCUGCUUUAACUUAUCUAAAAAGUUGGAUUUUCUCCCCAAAUAAUUUUUAUUUAUUUUAUUUUAACUUUAUGGUCACACCUGUGGCAUAUGGAAGUUCUGGGGCCAGAGAUUGAAUCCAAGCCAUGGCUGUGACCUACACCACAGCUGCAGCAGUGGCAGAUCCUUUAACCCACUGUGCCAGUCUGUGGAUCAAACCCACACCUCCACAGAGACCUGAGCUGUGGCAGUUGGAUUUUUAACUCCCCCAAGAGUAAUUUUUAUAGAAACUCCAGCAGUAAAUAACAGAGUAGUAGUCAAAGAGCAGGCUCCCCCUAUACUUUUAUUUCAUAGAUAGAACAUUCCAUAUCACUCAUUUAUUCAACAGCCGUUUUUUGAAUUUUUAAUACAUACAAGGCAAUAUGAUCCAAAACCAGUAUAUCUUUUCCCCAACUUUAGCUCAAUUUUUUUUUAAGGAUAGCACAUAUCUAAAGAAACUCUUCCAAAGGGAUGGUGUAAUAUUGGUUUAGUUACUGUAUGACUGUCACACAUGUUUUUCAGGAUAAAAUGCAGUAACUAACAGUGCUGGUGGUUUAGAAUGGGCACCAGGAGCCUAGAAAUCUUACCUCUGUUGCACACACACACAAAAUCAGCUCUGUGAUUCCAGGAGAGUCAUUUCAUCCUCAUGAGCAUCAAUUUCCUUCAUCAUAAGAAGAUGGUCUUCAAAUAGCCUAGAAGUUUUCAAUCAUUUUGGUGAACUGUACUCACAAGUUGAUCUAAGGAUAUCAUUAGUUCCUCAUCACAAGCAUGAACACUCCAACUAUAAUUAGCACUCAAUUUCAAAAUUUCCUGCCCUUCCUCAAAGCCCAUCUGUAAAUUGUGGAUUAUAAGGUCCUUGAACCACAGGUAAAGAAUCCCUGGGCUAGAAUAAGGCUCUCUGUUUCACUAUUUUGAAAUUCUAAACCACAUCACCAACACAUAGUCUGCCACACAAAAAUAGCAGUAUUAAAGUCUCUUCAUAGAUAAAAUGUCAUUCCACACCUCCAGGUAACUCCUCUUCCACCACUUUCUCUAUUGGGAGUUACUGCCCCCAUGCUGGUAUGAAUACCACUUAUCAGGGAAAACAUCUGCAAUCAAAACCCUCGUGAAGAUCUUGGCAGUUCCCAUUGUGGCUCAGCAGGUUACAAGCCCAACUAGAAUCCAUGAAGAUGAGGGUUCAAUCCCUGACUUCAUUUGGUGGGUUAAGAUCUGGCAUUGCUGUGAGCUGUGGUGAAGGUUGCAGACAAGACUCAGAUCCUGUGUUGCUGUGGCUGUGGUGUAGGCUAGCAGCUGCAGUUCCAACUAGACCCCUAGCCUUGGAACUUACAUAUCCACAGGCAUGGCCCUAAAAAGCAAAAACAAACAAACAAACAAACAAACAAAACAACCCUUGUGAAGAUCUUGAGUAAUCCUUCAAUCCCAUAGAAACUAAAAAAUCUCCCCUAGGUACCAUAGCUGCUCAUGUUUUUGGACCUCCAAUCAUGAGACCCAGAUAUUUCCAUCAGGAGAAGCAUGUAACAUGACUUCUUAUAAGAAGGCAGCAUCCAAGAAAAAAGUGAAAGCCUUGCUGACCAUUGAGUAUCUUAACAUAGAAAAGAUAGGGUAAUGGGUAAAGAAGAAAAGAAACUGUCCAAGAGAGCAGACAACAAAGUUUAUUCAUAAUUCAUAUUUUAAAAGGAUGCUAUCCCAGAUGAUACCUGCUGAGUUCCCCUCGUGGCGCAGUGGUUAACGAAUCCGACUAGGAACCAUGAGGUUGCGGGUUCAGUCCCUGCCCUUGCUCAGUGGGUUAAUGAUCCGGCAUUGCCGUGAGCUGUGGUGUAGGUUGCAGACGCGGCUUGGAUCCCGCGUUGCUGUGGCUCUGGCGUAGGCCGGUGGCUACAGCUCCGAUUCGACCCCUAGCCUGGGAACCUCCAUAUGCCGCGGGAGCGGCCCAAGAAAAUAGCAACAACAACAACAACAAAAGAC